GGGAUGGCUUUCCUUUGCCAACCCACUCCUUCCCAGUUGUGCCUCUGUGGACACCGACUUCUGUAGCCCUGUGAUGAACAACUCCAGCAGCCAGGCUUGAUCUGUUUUACCUCUGUGUGAGAUCUCCCUGCUUUCCUCCAGCUAUCAGGUUCACGAAGAGGCUCCUCCCCUCGCACAUCUUCCUCCGGUCCGUUCUGUUUCCAUGGGACUUGGGCUGGAUUCAGGAUGAGCACGGAUGAGGAGGGAAAAGCCACAGGAGCAGUAAAAAUACCUGGCACUUGACUUCUUCAGACACAGUCUGGAAGAUGUUGUCUUUUCCAUCAGCACCCAUGAUCUUAGAAAUAAUGGCUCCUAGCUUACUGAUAUUUCUAAAGUCAUUCAGAAUUGGGAGGAGAAAUCAAAAUUUUCUCAUCUCUAAGCAGCUUGACUCAUCAUAACCCCAACCCCUAAAAGGAGUUCGUUCUUGAUUUUGGAAACCAUCUGCAGCUCUGGGCCCAGUUCUCCUCAUUCAGUAAUACCAAGUAGAAGUGUGUCCACUGAUCUUAAACCUCUGUCUUCCGUGCCCAUUAAACUAUAAACCACAAAAGGAUUCACAGACUUCUCUUCAUUCCCAGAAAUAAGAAAUCCCACUGAGAUCUGGGGUUCAAGGGCACCUCUUGAUUAAAUUUGUCAUUCAAUUGGCUUCCUAUGAAGCUCAAGACGGAAGAAGUUUUUUUUCUAUCUGCAAGUAAAGAAAUCAAUAUUUUCAUAA
Long non-coding RNA from Rattus rattus (black rat), 751 nucleotides. RefSeq lists it as uncharacterized. The transcript has 2 exons. The record is from RefSeq and is a predicted model, not a curated record. Lineage: Eukaryota; Metazoa; Chordata; Mammalia; Rodentia; Muridae.